RNA transcript from Amyelois transitella, 5373 nucleotides. RefSeq lists it as uncharacterized. The transcript is spliced from 6 exons. The record is from RefSeq and is a predicted model, not a curated record. Lineage: Eukaryota; Metazoa; Arthropoda; Insecta; Lepidoptera; Pyralidae.
CGCAGCGUUUGAACGUCGCUCUGCGCUCGCUACGGCUGCUCGCAACUCGAGGACCGGUUUGGCCGGUGUGUGUUUUCGACCAAUAAUAAUUGUGCAGUGUACUCAAACUACUUUUGAAAACCUUCAGCUCAGUGGACGACUAAACUUGGAACUCCUGUGAAAAUUUUACUACUUUUUUGUGAAGUGUAAGUUCGCGGAAAGUUGUUUCGUCGCGUAGAGUGUAGUUUCAAAGUGACAUAAACUCAAGUAUUGUAUAGAUUGUGUUUUAUGUGUAACGCUCUGAUUUUUACUCGCACUAUCGUGAUGUUCAACAAUUAAUUUCCAAACUUUUCAUAGAUAUAUUUAUUAUUGGGGAAUCGACUCAUCAAUUUCAACUUAUGACCACAAUCUUACAGAAACCUCAUCAGUGCAGUUUAAAAAUGUCAUAAGGUCCUAAUUGGAUAUGAGAGGAUGAGCCAUGGAAUCACGGAGCGCGCCGCCCAGCCCCGACGAACCGGGGGAGGCGGUGUACGACACGCGUUGUGGUCGAUACCCAACGCCGUCCCUUCAGAGGACCUUUGCCAGUUGUCGCGAAACCACCAGACCUCGGCCACACCAUCGCCAUGCUGCUUCAGAACCGGCACGACCCGACGACCGUGUGCUAAUUACAGCUGAAGUACAUGACUACCCUUCCUCUGAAUCGGGAAUAGCAGCCGAUUGUCCCCAUCCUCACACGAGUAAUGCUGAUGACAGCCCUUCUUACGAUAGAUCUGAUUACGAAGGUAACUCGAGUUACAACUUGAGACACACAACAGACUAUCACCACACCUUAGAUUGUAAACAUCGGCCAAUCGAUUAUAAUCGGAGUCACACACCAGAUUAUAAUCAUGGUCAUGGCUCAGACUGUGACCGACCUCAUCCAAGGUCACAAACUGCUCGACGUCCUCAUAGAAAACAUAGACGAGAUGAAGAAGAUGGGGCCCAGUCAUUGGACGAAAGAUGUGCUCGCGAUUUAGAUGAAAUUUUACCAGCAAGAUUGGCAGCUGUCAAUUUGUCGAGAGAACCUCCUCCGCAAACUUGGAAUAGAAGUAACAUUGCUGCUACAAUGGAAAGAUUUGAGCCAGUCGACUAUUCUUAUGCUUAUUAUGAUCACCAUUUAUCUAUGCCAUCGUCAUCUAAAAAAGCCAAUCGUCAACGAGGUCGUGGUGGAAUUCCUCGAGAUCGCUCCGCGCGGCAUAAUUACGUCACUAGAUAUGGAACAGAAGAAAAUAUUUACGAAGAAAUAACUGAUGGUUCUAGGACGUGUCCAAAACAUCGAUAUGCUCCACGACAAUCGCUGGUUUCGUUAGAUCGAAGUGUAGUGGAAGAAGAAGUACGUAGGGUGGAGUCUAGGCAUAAAAGAAUUCUAGGUGAACUAAAUCUAAGCGUAGAAGCUAUGUUAAUGCCAGAAUGUGAAUCACCUGAUUCAGAAAGAGCAGAAGAUAGAGACAAUAUAGAAGAAUUGUUACGAGUAGGUCCUACAGAUGAAUUACUUUCUCCAGCAAGCUGUAAUCCACCUGAUUUAGAUAGUGGAUUUAGUGGCAGCAGUAGCGGAGCAAGCUAUGUUGGCAGUUUACGACGUAAGCCAACUGGAUCUGUACCUCACUUACCCGCGGUGGCAUAUGGGACACGUGGGGCUGGUGUUCGCAUACUUGGUGCUGAUGAAUGCGGUAUGCGGGGUCCAAGAGAUGCUACUUCACCCCGAAGUUCAAGCUGUGGGGAUGCAAAGACAACUGGAUUUUGGAAUAAAAAAGCGUGGAAAAAAAUAUCUGGUUUCUCAAGCUCUAAUAGCAUCAACAAAGCGGGACUGACUGGUCUGCUCGUUAGGUACACUUUCCGGCGUAAGUCCGGCUCGCAAGGCUCUCAGGGCAAGCGGCGUUCCGAGCCCGUCAAAUGCGAUGCGUGCCUCUCACAACGAUGUUAGCCGCUCUAUGAUGAAGCCUGUAGGCCAAGCAGAGCUAAAUCCAGAACAUCUACUAUGCCCUACAGCUACUCCAACGGAAAACUGGUGGUGCCGUUGGAUUCCCUAGCACAGAGCUGAGGGGCCCGGCCCCCUCACCAUCCCCGCUUCGAACUCCUUAGAGGGACUGCUAAACACAAAGGGACAACGAUAAACACGAGAAUAGUUACAUAAAUCACUAUGGAACUUUGUAAAUCAUUUUAACGGAAACAUUCCAAAUGACUUUAUGCGGAUAUAUUACAGUGUGACGACACCUUUAUGAGUCUCAAAGACAAACAGGUGUGUUGAAGUGUGCGGUGGAUACAAAAUGACUUUUGUAACGAGGCGUGUAUACGGUGAAGUGAUAGAAAAGCCUAAUUAAUUAUUUGUAUUGUUAUUGGAAUCGUUUCAUAGAAACGUAAUGACUACGUUGUUGUUACUUAUCAAUUUUUAGUAGUUAUAGAUACAAGAAAAGGCUGAGAAUUUGAAUCAGAUUUUGUACAUGAUAAAUGAUGCUGCCAUUUUAGCUAAAUUAAUAUCCAUUGUACUAAUGAUGUCCAAUGAACUUUGCUAUAUGAUGGUAUUGUUGAUGUAUUAAAAUAAUCUUAUACUCUCGGUCAUUUAAAUCAAAUAUUUAUAGUUGCACCAGUUUAUAUCGUCGUUCAGAGAGCAAGUCCAUUUUUUAUUUAAGUAUAAUAAAAAUUUCAGAUCUGAAUAAAUAUAAAACCGUGUGGUAUUUUUACAUUAUAAUUUUGACACUGUGAAGUUAUUAUUGAAAGACCUAACCAAAUAUAUAAUGAGAUAUUGAAAUAAAUAUCGUGGAUAUCGCAGAGGAGCAUAAUUAUACUGUAUUUAAAUUCUUUAAUGAUGUAUGUAUUUCGUAAUUGAUAAAAUUAUAUAGAUGGUCCAACCUAUUUAUUUUUAAUACCUUUUAAGAUCCGUGUAUAAACUUUGUUUUAUAUAAAUAAAAAGUUUUUCGUCGAGAUAACGCAAUUGUUAAUAAUUGUUAGUACAUAGUUGUAUAUUUUGUAAAUACAUAUAAAUGAUGGUGCACUCUGUUUUUAUGUUACUGUAUGACACAUUAUACGCAAAGUCACAUUUGAACUUGCUUUUUCAUUUAAGAGAUAGUUUGAAAGUUGAAUAUCGUCGGGCUGGGUAUAGUAUAGACACCAGGUAUAUAUGUAUAUGUCUUAGAAGCGUGAGUGUGAGUGACAUUAAUUAUUAUAUAAAUUUAUUUUUCCUAAUAUUUUUUUUUAUCUACCGCCAAAACCUUUGCCACUUUUGACUUUUUUACUUUUAAUUGCAUUAUAUAUGAUUUAAAAAUAGAAUUUAAAGUUUUUAUUUAUUUUUAUAAUAAAUACACUUUGAAACGUUGGUAUGUGUACAGAAAUAUAUAUGUUUUAUGAGCUUCCCUUAUUAAUAUGAAAAUACGUUGUGGACUUAAUCUAACAUUUUAAUCUACACAGAACUAUAUAGGAACAAGGAAAACUAUGUGAAUUGAUGUCGACCAAUUUUGAAUGCAACUAAAAAUUUUAAUUGAUUCUCUAUAAUUUUCUAACAAAAUUUUCCAAGAAACCACUAAACGCGUAAUAUUUUUUUUUAGAUUAAAUUUAUUAUGUAGCCUGUGGCCAUAAUUAAUUAUAAGGCGCCAUCAUGUGGAGACCUUAGUCUAAUGUGAUAAAGACCACACGGAGGAAGUCCUGCUAGUACCAUAUCAAAACAAGUUAGAAAUCAAAAACGUUGCAACUCAAAUCAGAGUGCAAAAAACCAAUGCAGCUAUUAUUUAUGUUAUCGUUCUUUGAAAAAAAUCUUUGCUACGAAGUAAAUCUAUGGAAAUAAAUGAAAAGCGAGUGACGUUCGUCAUUCCUCUUUUGUCUUAUAGUUUGCACGGUCUAUAAAAUUGCGGGUUUUCUUGAAUGUUCUUUUUUAUGAUUCUAGCAUUAGUUUGUAUGUAAAAGAAACGAAUGCUAUCCGCUACAAGUACAUAGAUUUUUGUUUUGUAAAAAUGGUUUUAGCAAGGUUUGGCGCAGCAAAAAACCCCUUUUGUUAGAGAAAGACUACUAGACCUCUCUAGAUUUCAUUAUUUUAACGCUGUUUUCAAUUAAACUUGCUACACAUUCACACUCUAAUGACAUUGUGUUAUCAUGUCUGACGAUAUAAAAAUAGCUCUAGACUUAACAAUCUAUUUUCAAAGAUGUGUUUGUAGAAAAAUAUACAUGUUAUUAACUUUGGGUAUCUUUAACCUUUCCACGCCUAAAUAAACUCGUAUUUGCAUGAAUUACAGUGUGUACAAACCUCAAAGUUAGUUUCCUUAUAUUAUGGCAUACACACACAUAUCACAUUUUGAUAAAUAUUUCAUGGUAAUAUGGCUUAAUGAUGGAAGUAAGAUUCAGAACUAGUGACAGUUUACCGAAGCCUACGGCCUCAAGAAGAAUUCCAUGAAUUAAAAUUAUAGCUUAUGGCCUACUAACUCUACGAUAUAAUAAUUUUAUUGAAUUUCAGCUGCGAUUUUUCGAUCAGCUGCCUAAAAGUUCUAGAAAUUUCUGAAUGCAAAUAAAAUAUAUUUAAUAUAUAUAAAAAAAAAAAAUAGCGGCCAAACUUUCAGGCUUGUAUAAACAAACCCGUUCUAUGGUGGAACUCCUACCGCGGACAUAUCAAUAAAACUUUACAUUAUUAAUAAUAAAUUUAUUACAAGGUAUAUAUUUCUACAAACACAUUGUAUAGGAAAAAUAUCGCUUACUCUACGGCCUAUUUUCACUUAAAUUUAUGUAAAUAUAGUGUACAAUUAUUCACAUCAGUCACGUCGCAAUACCUUCGCUGUAUUGGUUUUGUAACUAAAGCAAAUACUUUUAUUUGUGCCGCGUUAGUUGUUGGUAGAACAGAUAUAAAACAUUGGUAUUGGUACUUACCCUAAAAUGUAUUCAAAUUAAUAUUAUUUUAUUAAAAUUGUUCAUUUUUGAUAACAUUUGAUUGGGUUAAUCUAUCCAAUAGGUUUUUAGUCAAGCCUGUGACUUGAUAAUACAAAAUGUUUUUUUGGAUUUUUGUAGAUUUCUUGACAGCAUAUGAGACAGAAAUUUUAAUGAUUGCGAACAUAAAUAAAGAGACAAAUGUCCUUGAGUUAACGAAGUAGAUUAUUUAUUUAUAGGUAUAAAAUUAUUUGUUUGUUUCUUUGUAAUAUCUGUAUUGCACAGAAAUUUAUACAGUUACAAGCAAUAGUACAUAGUAAUAAAAUAAAAUUAUUUUUUAUAUAAUUUACAACCAAAAAUCAGUGCUACCAACAUCAUAACGUAUUAUCAUAAAAGAUUCUACUGUUCUAAGCUUUUUGACUGAUAAAAACGUAAAUAAUCUCAAUGUUACAUGAAUUUCUUUGUCUGUAAUUUAGUGAUCGUGUUCAAGUCAAAAAAGAUUUUUAUCAA